UAGGGAAUAUUAGUAAUGGGCGAAAGCCUGAACUAGCGACACCGCGUGUGCGAAGAAGGCCUUCGGGUUGUAAAGCACUUUUAGAGAGGAUGAGGAAGGACGGUACUCUCUGAAUAAGUCUCGGCUAACUACGUGCCAGCAGCCGCGGUAACACGUAGGAGGCAAACGUUAUCCGGAUUUACUGUGCGUAAAGCGCGUGUAGGUGGUUCUGUAAGUAGGGCGUGAAAGCUCCCGGCUCAACUGGGAGAGGCCGUUCUAAACUGAAGAGCUAGAGGAUGGUAGAGGGAGGUGGAAUUCCGGGUGUAGCGGUGGAAUGCGCAGAUAUCCGGAGGAACACCAGUGGCGAAGGCGACCUCCUGGGCCACUCCUGACACUCAGACGCGAAAGCUAGGGUAGCAAA
Molecule: ribosomal RNA, 400 nt
Filed under: uncultured bacterium
Lineage: Bacteria
Description: bacterial SSU rRNA
Rfam family: Bacterial small subunit ribosomal RNA
Source: RNAcentral